This 2219-nucleotide long non-coding RNA is filed under the name Oreochromis niloticus (Nile tilapia). Its description in RNAcentral is "lncRNA (ENSONIG00000040111.1)". The record is from RNAcentral. Lineage: Eukaryota; Metazoa; Chordata; Actinopteri; Cichliformes; Cichlidae.
AUGGACAGCACCUCAGAAAUAUUCAGAUUCCUACUGUUCAAGUAUAUAUAUGUAAUACUAAAUGGAAGAAGGAACAAUCCUAAACAUAAUACAGCAGAUGAAAGAUUUCUCUUUUAUCUCAGUAAUGGAACACUUAGGAUACAUAACCUGAGCAGUACAGACAGCGAAGGAGGUAUUUUGCCAGUGAUCUGUGGUGUUCUGUCAGCACUGGUGAUUUUAUUAGUUGUGGGUGUAGCUGUCAUCUGUUUUGAGAGGAGAAAAAACAAAACAAAACAAAAAGGUACAAAACUUGCUUUUCAAUCACCUCACUCAGAUUGGCCUUUUGCUCUUCUUGUAGAUAUACAGAAUCAUAUUUUGCUUCUUUUUUUUGAAGACACUUUUUUGCUUUCUUGCUAAUGAUUUCUUCAUAAUGUCAUCAUAUUUCAUUGAAAUAUGUGGGUAUUGCUAACCAGUCAGCUCUAAUGCAGUGAAAACAUAAUCAAAACAGGUCAGAAAAGCAAGUUUCAGAAAAACGAUUACCUUAAUGAUUCAUUGAUGUUAAUUUUAUCUUGCUUCUAUGCAGAGGAAGAUGACCAGGAAGUAACGUACGCUGAUGUUAGGGUCAGGCAGCAGCAGGAGAAGCCAGUGAAGGGAAGAGAAGAGGAAGUGGAGUAUGGCCAAGUGAAACUUUCACAGUGAUCUCAUCAGAAUGAACCAGCAUGAUGAUUGUACAGGAAGAUUGUUUGUAUGGCAAAAUCCUUAAAAUCAGCUGAUUUAGAUGGUCAGUGCUUUUAUACGGACUGCACCACUAAAUGCCCACAGAGGGAGGAAGUGAAGUGCUAAAAUCCCUAAACAAACCAUCAAAACUCACAAAUACUGAUUUUCUUUGCUUCAUCUUUAUUUUUGUAUUACAACGGCGCAUAAAUUCAUCAUUUAAAUGGAAAUAAUUCAAGUAAUAACACUGAAGUUUUGUAUGAAUUAAAGUGGAGCAACAACGCUGAGCAUGACAACCCAUCCAGAUGUUACAGUUACAGAAUAUGAGAAAGCCUUGGUUUCAUCAAUGAUUAAUACUUUUUACUCUGUAAACAAAGACACGUCACUUUUUUAUUUAAAGACAAUUCAGAUUUAUUUAUAUAGAACCAAAUCAUAACAUGUCAAAAAACCCUACAAUGAUACAGAUAUGAGCAUGGCCAAUUACUUGUUAUAGUGACAAUAAUACCAUAUUGAUAAUGUUUUGUCAUCAGUCUGGGAUCUACAUAUGUGUUCGUCAGUGUUAUGGUGUAAAAAUCUCUUUAUGCUGAAUCAAAAAUAUAGUACUGUGAAUAAUGCUUCUGUUAUGCUAAAGAUGUUUUUUCUUUUAUUUUAAUUGACUGGGUUUUCAUAUAUUUUGCUUCUCUAUAGUUACACAGUCACAACAUAUUUGUAACAUUUAUUUUUGUGCAUUUGGUGAUUUACAGAAGUUGUCAUGGUCCCUGGGUCUCGGUAUUGAAGUUUGGGAUUUUUUAUAAGUUUGGAUUUUAGGUUAUCUUUGGAUUAGGUUUCUGUUAUUUUUACUAUUUAGUUUUCUGUUCACAUAAUAGUUUAUUCCUUUGUCUGUAUAUGUUUUUUUUUCUAGCCUUUUUGUUUCUGCCAUCGGUUCUUGGCUCUACUGAUGACUUUAAAUUUAGUUAGUUCCCCUUUCCAAUGUGUUCCUCCUUCUGUCUUAUCUCUGUCCUUUUCUUUCAGUGUUUCCUCAUUUCUGUCGACAUCUCUCAUGCUGUUUUCUUGUCUGCUUCCUUUAGUUACGCUCUUGUUUAACCGUUUAAAGACAAACUGCAUCAUGUUCAGUUUUCUUAAGAGUUUCUGAGACUUCAACAUCAUCACUUUGUUUUUUUGGUUCAGGCUUAAAGAGCUCAGUUCAGUUCAUGUUCAGUUUUUCUUAAUGAGGUUUUUAGCUUUUCUUCCUGGCUUUGCUCUCACUGAUUACCUGAUUAUCAGCCCAUCUGUCUCCUUUUCUCUGACUAACUAAUACUUUGACAUGACUGAAUGAUGUAAUUACUUUGUUUCUUAUCUCUUUAGAGUCUGUUUCACUUACAUGUUUUAUCACCAUUAAUGAUUUACUCUUUUCAAAAUAAUUACACUUCUAAUAUGUCAGUUGAAUUGCCUUUUUGUCAUGAUAAAAUAACAAUAAAUAAUUAUUAAAGUUUCAGUGAGUAAUCUAUAAUUUUUAUGGUAAGCUGUGUGGAAGACAGGGGUCGGAG